UAUCUAUUGUGAGCAGGCAAUGAUGGUAUUGUAUGUUUCUSUUUGACCAGGAACCAAUGACCAGAAAGGGAAGAUAAUGGGAAUAUUCCGAUCAAUUGGUGCCAUGGCGCGCGCUUUUGGUCCAUUUGUAUUUUGCUCAGCGUAUUGGCUUGUAGGAGCGUUUUGGUGCUACUUAACUGGAGCUCUUAUAUUUAUUGUUCCUCUYGUCAUUCUUAUGAAGAAUAUCCCCUCCAAAGAUGAUAUAAAGAGCAGCAAAGACUAGUUAGAUAUUAUUAUAAAACAUAAUGAUAAUGAUGAUUUCUUUGAUAUAUAAAAGCUGUUCUUAUUGUAGUCUCCAAUUAUUCAUUCAUAUUUUUCAUUCAAUUCAAACAAGUAUUUUCAUAUAGUUUUAGGAAUAAUAAGUAAUGCUGUGGAGACGGCACGAAAACUCACGGAACAAACGUAACAUCUAAUGGUCAAAGUUGUAAUAGAUGAAUGAAUAUAAUAAAAAGGUAGUGUUCUUUUUCUUUCUUUUC
Exaiptasia diaphana is the source of this 515-nucleotide RNA transcript. RefSeq lists it as uncharacterized. NCBI's taxonomy places the organism in Eukaryota, Metazoa, Cnidaria, Anthozoa, Actiniaria, Aiptasiidae. The record is from RefSeq and is a predicted model, not a curated record. The transcript has 2 exons.